GAUGAACGCUGGCGGCGUGCCUAAUACAUGCAAGUCGAGCGAACGGACGAGAAGCUUGCUUCUCUGAUGUUAGCGGCGGACGGGUGAGUAACACGUGGAUAACCUACCUAUAAGACUGGGAUAACUUCGGGAAACCGGAGCUAAUACCGGAUGAUAUUUUGAACCGCAUGGUUCAAAAGUGAAAGACGGUCUUGCUGUCACUUAUAGAUGGAUCCGCGCUGCAUUAGCUAGUUGGUAAGGUAACGGCUUACCAAGGCAACGAUGCAUAGCCGACCUGAGAGGGGGAUCGGCCACACUGGAACUGAGACACGGUCCAGGCUCCUACGGGAGGCAGCAGUAGGGAAUCUUCCGCAAUGGGCGAAAGCCUGACGGAGCAACGCCGCGUGAGUGAUGAAGGUCUUCGGAUCGUAAAACUCUGUUAUUAGGGAAGAACAUAUGUGUAAGUAACUGUGCACAUCUUGACGGUACCUAAUCAGAAAGCCACGGCUAACUACGUG
This 497-nucleotide ribosomal RNA is filed under the name uncultured bacterium. RNAcentral describes it as "partial 16S ribosomal RNA". It matches the Rfam family "Bacterial small subunit ribosomal RNA", at positions 28 to 507 of the family's 1533-position model. The record is from RNAcentral.